This 433-nucleotide ribosomal RNA is filed under the name uncultured bacterium. RNAcentral describes it as "bacterial SSU rRNA". It matches the Rfam family "Bacterial small subunit ribosomal RNA", at positions 29 to 507 of the family's 1533-position model. The record is from RNAcentral.
AACGAACGCUGGCGGCAGGCCUAACACAUGCAAGUCGAACGCCGUAGCAAUACGGAGUGGCAGACGGGUGAGUAACACGUGGGAACGUACCUUUCGGUUCGGAAUAACUCAGGGAAACUUGAGCUAAUACCGGAUGCGUGCGAGAGCAGAAAGAUUUAUCGCCGAAAGAUCGGCCCGCGUCCGAUUAGCUAGUUGGUGAGGUAAUGGCUCACCAAGGCGACGAUCGGUAGCUGGUCUGAGAGGAUGAUCAGCCACACUGGGACUGAGACACGGCCCAGACUCCUACGGGAGGCAGCAGUGGGGAAUAUUGGACAAUGGGCGAAAGCCUGAUCCAGCCAUGCCGCGUGAGUGAUGACGGCCUUAGGGUUGUAAAGCUCUUUCGCCAGGGACGAUAAUGACGGUACCUGGAUAAGAAGCCCCGGCUAACUUCGUG